Molecule: long non-coding RNA, 1527 nt
Organism: Mesocricetus auratus (golden hamster)
Lineage: Eukaryota; Metazoa; Chordata; Mammalia; Rodentia; Cricetidae
Exons: 2
Source: RefSeq, a predicted model, not a curated record
AUUUCGCCUCUUUGUACAUGGUGUUUCUUGGGUGGUGGCUGGCUGUACUCAAGAACAAUGUCUGCUGAACUGAGUCUUUGGUCUUUCCCUGGAGCCUGUGCCUCAAAGAAGAUUCCCAGCACAUUCAUGUGACCAAUCUUUCUUGCUUCUGCAGUUAGUUAUACAAAGCCUCUUGGCAUCACCAGGGGAGUGGAAGGUAAGAUGUAAAGGAUGGAUGGCCACAACACACGGGAAGUGGAUGUGUAAAAAAUGGCACAGUUGUUGGGGGGGAUUUAUGAGGAUGGAGCAGCCAUGUAUUUCCAUUGCUGAGUGAUGGAGGAGUCUGAGCUGCAACCCACAUUAGCACCAUGGAUGAAGACAAACCCACCCGAGAGCUGCUAGAGAGAUCAUGAAGCCUCACAAUGAAGACCAAACAUUGUUCAAAGAAAUGAAUAGCAUUAAUCUACAAACUUGAGCCCAAACAACGUGGCUAUCUAUUUCCCCAAGCUGGUGUUGCCCAAGGAAUAUUUAAACUGCCAUUAUGUGACAAAAAGUAUAUGAAAGAGGACAAAGAAAAAGGGAAAAAUACAAAGACUUCACAAACUGUUUCAUAGUCAGACUUCAAACUUGGAAAUUGCUGAAAAGAAAGACCAUUCAAAAGAGGCCAAAGCAAAUCAUACAGUGACAGCAUGCUGUGUUUAAAGCCCUUUGACUUGAUCUGCUGUUCUAUUAGCUACUGUGCUGUUACUAAUGGAUUUUCUGGUGGUGCUCAAUACACAGGAGUUCAAGGAAAAAUGGGAAAUAGUUUCCCUUUAAGGAAAAUAAUAUGUCUAUCCAAGAAGCAUUAAAAAUGUGCUCUUGCAUUCAAAACCAUUCUCCAAGGAGCUGUAUGUACUCAGCCAAGGAGACAUGUCUCCCAGUGAAACUUCCCCACUUCUGAAACCUCUGAAGACAGCUUCACAGUUCAUAAACAACCCAGGAUUGGAACUUUUCUAAAGUAGGCAGAAAAGUUUAAAGAUUCCUGCCACUUGGAAAAGGAAAUCCAAGUUAGCAGCAGGAGCUGAAGCAGCUGGAAACUCCUUAAAAUUCCAGGACCCCAGGCACUGCUUACAAUCAGAUAGACUAGAAUCUCCACUGUAAUGUGCAUGCUAGAAUUAAGCAUAGUUUAGGAUUGUUUAGCCCAACAUAGGCUAUAGCAUCCAUACAACAUGGUAUAAAUAUGAUUUAUCCCCUAAGAAAACUUAGGCUGAAAUUUAACUUUGAUUAUGAGAUAUUAAGGGGCAAAACUAGAUGGGAAUGUGAAGAAAUGACUGAGGCUCUGCUUUUAUCAAUAGGAUUAGCUAUUUGGUAUAAUUUAUAGGUUUAGUAGUUCUCUGGGAAGAGGUUCUCAACUAAAAGCCCAUUUGGUUAGGCAUCUCAUGCUCCCUGUCUCUUGCCAUGUGAGCUCUGUACAACCUCAGGGACACUGCCAGCAACACCUUCAUCUCAUGCAGCUUCACCCUUGGAUAGUCACUGUGAGUCAGAGUAAAUCUCUUAUUUAUACCUCAA